UUAACUCACACAUAAACUUAACAUGGAUCUGAUUCAUUGUCUUUUCUCUCUCUGUCUUCAGUCUGUGUGGAUGCAGUAUUACAGAGAAACAGUGUCUCAUCCUGACUUCAGCUCUGAAAUCAAACCUUUCUCACCUGAGAGAACUGGACCUCAGUGGGAAUGAAAUAGAAAACACAGGAGUGAAUCACUUAUGUGACGUACUGAAGAAUACAGACUGUAAACUGGAAAGAUUGAGUCUGCAUGACUGUGGCAUUACAGAUGUUGCUUGUUUGGCUCAGUCUUUGGCUGAAACAAAAGCACUUCUAUUUUUAAAAGAGCUUGAUCUGAGUAAAAAUAAAAUGGGAGACUCAGAGCAGCAGCUCAGUGAUGUGCUACGAGACUCAAACUGUAAACUGAGGUGAAACAGAGGAGGGAGAAGAGGCUGAUGAGCUUGCAAAAGAGCUGGAUUAGUAAGAAUACAGGUCUAUAGUAUAAGAUUGUCAUUAUCAAAUGACAAACUGAAAGUCUAAAAUGAAAAUUAAGUUAACAUGCUACAUGUACACAGAUUCAAAUCAGUGAUCUAUAAUAGAGUCAUUUUAAAGAUCAGUGGUCCUGUGUCAUUUUAUAUUUCUUUAUACCAUUUUUUUAUUUUACAUUUAUGUAUGUUUUAUAUUACAUUUCUCUAACAUUUUAUAUACAGAAUGUGUAUUUAAAUUCGUCUUUGUAAGUUCUGUAUCUGUCUCAGGAGAAACAUGUCUCUGUAUAAGAAGGAGGUUUUUUUGAUGUUGUAGUUGUUGUGGAUGUGUUUGUUCUCUCACACCGGCACAGAUUAAUCUUUACUAGUUAGAAUUUAUGUAGCAUAUUACAGUAUGUGCUUUCAGUCAUAUUGUCUCAUGCUUUUUCUUUAGUGAGUUUAAUCUUCUCUUGUAUUGUAUUGUAAUGUGUUGGCAUAUUAUAACUAUACAAAUAAAAAACUUGACCAUUUUA
This is a long non-coding RNA of Cyprinus carpio (common carp), 966 nucleotides long. RefSeq lists it as uncharacterized. Lineage: Eukaryota; Metazoa; Chordata; Actinopteri; Cypriniformes; Cyprinidae. The transcript is spliced from 3 exons. The record is from RefSeq and is a predicted model, not a curated record.